GCAGACACAUUCCAGCCAAUCAGCAGCAGACCCUCCCUCCCAGACCCUCCCACCUCCUGGACAGCAUCCAUUGUGAAGCUGCAUUCUUAGUGGGCUGUCCAGGAGGUGGGAGGGUCUGGGAGGGAGGGUCUGCUGCUGAUUGGCUGGAAUGUGUCUG
RNAcentral lists this microRNA precursor (157 nucleotides) under Pelobates cultripes (western spadefoot toad). The record is from RNAcentral. Lineage: Eukaryota; Metazoa; Chordata; Amphibia; Anura; Pelobatidae.